RNAcentral lists this long non-coding RNA (708 nucleotides) under Pogona vitticeps (central bearded dragon). RNAcentral describes it as "lncRNA (ENSPVIG00000016590.1)". Lineage: Eukaryota; Metazoa; Chordata; Lepidosauria; Squamata; Agamidae. The record is from RNAcentral.
CUCUCAUUUGCUGGCAGGAGUCACCAGGCAUCACAUGGAUUAUAUUCCUUCAUAUGAUUAAAUAAGCAUCUUCAUUCACAGAACCUGAAAAGCGGCAGGCAUCAGAAUGGCAUCUAGGACAGCUCUCCUGUCUACCCAAGGCUGCAGAAAAGUGGGCCUCUAUCCCUGGAAAAACUGUGCCAUGUUGACAGAAAAGUGGAAAUGAAGAGGACUGCAGCCUUGCCAUCAUAGAAAGCCUGGAUGAAGUUCUGGUUAUUUUCCAGACGAGGACUCUGCUUCACCUACCACCAUUAGCAGGCCAUGCUGUCCUCGUACCCCUCUGAAGAAGUUGUCUACAUGUAAUUCCCCAAUACACUGAGAUGGGGAGCUGAUCAGGACGUGGUGAGUGGCCGAGAAGCUAAUGGACUGUGGGUUAAGAAAGUUCAAAAGGGAAGCCCUUAGCUUAGCAGAAGGGGAUAAAAAGAGGAAAGGCAUAGAGGAAGAGGAAUAACCCUGGUAGGAGAUUAGGCCUCAUCUUAAGUCUUGUGUCCAAUUGUUGUCAUAUAGAGGAAGGUCAAACUGUUCUUGAUCAUCCCAGAAUGCAGGACACGUCAUAAUGGGCUCAAAUUACAGGAAGAUUUCAGUGGAAUACCAGGAAAAAAAAUCCUAAAUAUGAGAGUAGUAUGGCAAUGUAACCAAUUACCUCCGGAGGUAGUGAGCACUCAAGGC